UCUUGUUCAUGCUGUGUGACCAUCUUGGGUUGGUUGGGGAUGUGUUGUUCAUCCUUCCUAUGGGAUCAAGUUCAUAGAGCAGCAGCACUCUAGACUAGCUCAUUCCUUGUGGCAGGGAGAGAGCUUGUAAGGCACAUGCUGGGUUUUAGUGUUAGAGAGUGAGUGAGUGAGGAGGGUUAAGUCUGGAAAAGUAGGUAGGGAUGAGCACUCCUCAAAGGUCCCUGUGUGGAAGGCGUGGUAAUCAGGGUGAUGCUACUGGGAAAUUGGUGGCACCUUUAAGAGUUGGAGCUUUAAUGGAAUGUCCUUAGGUCAUUGGGGGUUGUGUCCCUGGAGGGGAUUGUUGGACCCCAGGCUCUCACUCUUUCGUUCUCUUCCUGGCUCCUAAGGAUCAGAGGAGCACUUCUCAGGACAGAUCCACGUUCUUGAGGACUCCUGGCCAGCAGCUGCAUACAUCAGAUCCUGCCUUAAUGUUUCCAGGUUGGACCUGGAAAGUCUGCAUCAUCAAAAAGAAGACACUUUUCUGGAGCAGCAGUGCCUACUAGAAACAAUGGCUACAAUGUGCUGGGGACCUCAGUGGAAGACCGUGUAAACUGCUCUGGUGAAUGGACGCUUUUCCAGAAGUAGAGGCUGCAUGGAGCCCUGUGCCUAGGGAUAAACCUGUGGUCAGCUGUCACAGCCUCACAGGGAGCCUCCCAGCCACCCAUUGCAGGUGGCCCAGGAAGCGAGGUACCCAGAGAAGGCAACUUCUGCCCCACUCUGGUCCGCCUGCCAAUGCUCUCCAGUGCCACUGGAGCCCGACCUAUGGACCUGAGGAAUGAACAAAGGUUUCCGCUGUUCAUUGUGAUCAUCCUGAUAAACACCCCUGAACAAUGAAGACAGUUCUGCUUCUCUGAGUGUCCUGGGAGUUUGGAUCUGGAUAAAAGGAGCUGGAAUUUCUACUUUUUUCUUCUGGCAAUCUGAACUGACCUCCCAUCCCAGGACAGCACCCCGAGUCCCUAUUUCCAUACACCUACCAUCACAUGGAUGUGGGCUCUAUGGGGAGCUUGAAUGUCUGGAGUUCUCCUUCAGAAAAAAGAACACAAAAUUAUUGUAAAGGUCUUGGCUUCAUUCUCUUUGGUGGCCUCUUACCAGGCCAUGAUUAUGUAGGGUCACUUUCCUGCAGAGACACAGGAAGACGCACUCACAGAAGGAAGACUCCAUCUGGAUGAGGUGUCAGGGAAAACCAAUUCCUUGUGUCCCACUGUGUGGGCUGAGAAAAGAGCCACCCCUCCCCGCAGCACUUCUUAUUUCCCACACUUCCUCUUCCUGGUGUUGGGCACUGUUGGGCAGAGUCCUCAGGGUGGGACAUCUGGGCAUGGAUCGCAGUGUCAUGACACAAAGUGACCUGGCAAGUGUGUUUUUGGAAGCCAUUCCUACCCCAGAAUAGCUGGCUGUGGCUUUACUCUACACAGCAUCAACUAUAACCCACUCUAUCUUACUGGACAUGACUGCAGCACAGAUGCUUCAUAGCCAGGUCCCCAGAUGCCCACAACUGUUCAAUGCUGCCUGACAGAAGCACACUGCAGGGGAAAGAAACAGUAAUUUUAACAGAUGUGGUUCAAAUAUCAAAUAACAGUACUUUUGCCUGUUUGAUAAAAAUAUCUGGACACAUG
Chinchilla lanigera (long-tailed chinchilla) is the source of this 1652-nucleotide long non-coding RNA. RefSeq lists it as uncharacterized. NCBI's taxonomy places the organism in Eukaryota, Metazoa, Chordata, Mammalia, Rodentia, Chinchillidae. The transcript has 6 exons. The record is from RefSeq and is a predicted model, not a curated record.